Long non-coding RNA from Rhinopithecus bieti (black snub-nosed monkey), 2362 nucleotides. NCBI's taxonomy places the organism in Eukaryota, Metazoa, Chordata, Mammalia, Primates, Cercopithecidae. The record is from Ensembl.
CCAUGUCCUGCAGACGUCUGGCGGCAGCGUCUACUCCAUUGCUGUGACAAAUCACCACAUUGUCUGUGGCACCUACGAGAACCUCAUCCACGUAAGGCCAGGGCGUCUGGGUGUAGGGCCAGACUGUGGCCCCAUCUCCCCUGCCUUGCUCAGUGUCUUUGACCUGCCUGUGCCCACCCCUCCCAGGUGUGGGACAUUGAGUCCAAGGAGCAGGUGCGGACCCUCACAGGCCAUGUGGGCACUGUGUAUGCCCUGGCAGUCAUCUCGACACCAGACCAGACCAAAGUCUUCAGUGCAUCCUACGACCGGUCCCUCAGGGUGCGUGCGGGCCCAGGGGUGGCAGGAGGCUCAGAGGGCGGGCAGCUGAGCUCUAGUGGGCCCUCACGUCCCAUGUGCCCCAGGUCUGGAGUAUGGACAACAUGAUCUGCACGCAGACCCUGCUGCGUCACCAGGGCAGCGUCACCGCGCUGGCCGUGUCCCGGGGCCGACUCUUCUCAGGGGCUGUGGAUAGCACUGUGAAGGUUUGGACUUGCUAACAGGAUCCAGGCCAGGCCGUGGCUUCCCCUGGACCAGCCCUGGACCAGCCCUGGACCUGUCUGAACCAGGCUGGUCACAUGGGGUGGUCUCGGGGUUUCUGCCUGCCCUGUGGGCACAGGUGGACAGGCUUUGGCAGCCGGGCAGUGCCCUCCCUGCCCCAUGCUCGGCGAGCCUCCCUCGGCACUGUCCUCGCCACCCAGCCCCUCUCUCUGGGUGCCAGAAACGUCAAAGUUGUGCCCAACACUGUGGAUCAGCAAACACGAUAGAGACCAGUCAGUACUUCUUGGAGGGAGCAGGGACAGAGAGAGGAAAAGGGAGGGUGAGAAUGACCACACGACACAGCCUUGGACCAUGAGCAGAAGCGUCCGUGGGAACUCCGGCGGGGUGGACGGGCUGCCUGCACAGGCCCCAGAGGAGGCCAGGCACGUCCUCAGAGGAGCUGCAAGCCCGUGGCCUGGCCUGCUACGUGCCGUGCUUCCACGUGGCCGCCACACUGACACACCCACAUUCACCACACCCACCCGCGCCCCGAUACAGCCACGCCAGGAGGAGGACAUGGCCGCCAAGAGCAAGGCACAACCUCGAGUUCUUGGGGCGCAGAGAACUUAGGAGAGAAGCGCGGAGGAGCCCCGCCAGAGCACCCGCCCCGGGCCCCAGCCUUCCACCUGUGCUAGCGGCCUGGGGCCUCCACUCUGGCCGGAGGGAGGAAGGACCGCCGGCAGACAGCCUGGUCCUCUUAACAGCUUUUGUCCGGAGCUAGAUUCGUGUCCUUUCAGUUGGUAAAUGGUUUUCUAUAGAAUCAAUAAUAUUUCUUUCUUUAAAUAUAUAUUUGUUAGUUAUACCUUUUGUUUCUCUGGGGAAAUCCGCCUCAGCUCAUUCCCAAUAAAUUAAUACUCUUGAUAGCUUAUAUUCUGAGGGUGCGAUGGGGCGGGGGGCCCUGACCCUGGUCCCCUGUCCCUUGUGCUGCGCCUGAGCGGCUGACCGGGCGUCCCGAUGGGCAGUUCUGUGCUGGGCCCGGGCCUGUGCGCUGCCCCAUCCCUGGUCCCGUGGCGCCCUCCCCUUCCGCACAGGCAGGAGGCCCAGCAGGUAUUGCACGGGGAGCAGCAAGUGGGGAGGACGCGCGGGCGCGGGGUCUGCCCAGAGCCCUUGGAGCCCCGGCCAGGCGGUCCCCGGUGGGCGCCCCAGCCCGACCCCAAGGGCCGGAGUUGUGCUUGUGCGGGGUCCUGCCCGGCCGCUCGCGCCGCGCCCAGACGCGCCCAUCCUGAGGUAUAGGUCAGUGUGCGGGGAGGGCCCGGGCGGCGCAGGCGGGCCCGGCGAGGCGGCGCUCACUCCAGCAUGGCGUCCAGCUGGUCGGCCAGGUCGUCGAACAUGCUGCCGAUGUCGUCCAGGAUGCUGCCCGUGCUCUUUUCCGCCGCCGAGUCGCUGCGGGGCGCGGGGCGCGGGGCGUGAGCGGGCGGGGUGGGCCUGGCCACGCCCACCUCGGUCAGGACACGCCCACAGCCCGCAUCUCCGUCGGGCUCCGCCUACCGCACGAUGACCUCGACCGAGCCCGUUGACGCCGCCCUGUCCCUGCUGAGCCCCGCUCACGCCACGCCCACCUCUACCAAGCCCCGCCCAUCUCUGCUGAGCCCCCGCCCUCCGCCCGCCAGGCCCCGCCCCGCACCUACCGCGGGCCCUGCGCGUCCUCCUGCCGGAUUUUCUCCUCCACCGCCUGCAGCGCCGCAGCCAAGCAGGCGCUCGUCUCCUCCAGCUUCUGCCGGGCGCUGUCCCCGGGCGAGGCGCCUUCGGUCGGGGCGGGGGGCGCGGCGGCGGCGGCAGCAGCGGC